Molecule: ribosomal RNA, 314 nt
Filed under: uncultured bacterium
Lineage: Bacteria
Description: bacterial SSU rRNA
Rfam family: Bacterial small subunit ribosomal RNA
Source: RNAcentral
AUUGAACGCUGGCGGCAGGCCUAACACAUGCAAGUCGAGCGGGGUUUUCGGACCUAGCGGCGGACGGGUGAGUAAUGCGUAGGAAGCUACCCGAUAGAGGGGGAUACCAGUUGGAAACGACUGUUAAUACCCGCAUAAUGUCUACGGACCAAAGUGUGGGACCUUCGGGCCACAUGCUAUCGGAUGCGCCUACGUGGGAUUAGCUAGUUGGUGAGGUAAUGGCUUACCAAGGCGACGAUCCCUAGCUGGUUUGAGAGGAUGAUCAGCCACACUGGAACUGAGACACGGUCCAGACUCCUACGGGAGGCAGCAGU